This 349-nucleotide ribosomal RNA is filed under the name Salmonella enterica subsp. enterica serovar Kentucky. Its description in RNAcentral is "partial 23S ribosomal RNA". It matches the Rfam family "Bacterial large subunit ribosomal RNA", at positions 911 to 1257 of the family's 2925-position model. Lineage: Bacteria; Pseudomonadati; Pseudomonadota; Gammaproteobacteria; Enterobacterales; Enterobacteriaceae. The record is from RNAcentral.
UGUUUCGGCUAGGGGGCCAUCCCGGCUUACCAACCCGAUGCAAACUGCGAAUACCGGAGAAUGUUAUCACGGGAGACACACGGCGGGUGCUAACGUCCGUCGUGAAGAGGGAAACAACCCAGACCGCCAGCUAAGGUCCCAAAGUCAUGGUUAAGUGGGAAACGAUGUGGGAAGGCCCAGACAGCCAGGAUGUUGGCUUAGAAGCAGCCAUCAUUUAAAGAAAGCGUAAUAGCUCACUGGUCGAGUCGGCCUGCGCGGAAGAUGUAACGGGGCUAAACCAUGCACCGAAGCUGCGGCAGCGACACUGUGUGUUGUUGGGUAGGGGAGCGUUCUGUAAGCCUGCGAAGGU